Molecule: non-coding RNA, 72 nt
Organism: Candidatus Woesebacteria bacterium
Lineage: Bacteria; Candidatus Woeseibacteriota
Source: Rfam
UGGCUGGUAGCUUAAUGGUAAAGCCCCCUCCUUUUAAGAGGGAGACUGCAGGUUCGAUUCCUGCCCAGCCAA